This 655-nucleotide non-coding RNA is filed under the name Pan troglodytes (chimpanzee). Lineage: Eukaryota; Metazoa; Chordata; Mammalia; Primates; Hominidae. The record is from RNAcentral.
AAAGUACCUGGACCUCUAUGCCCAUGCUUCUAGCAGCCAGCCUCCUAAAAUACCUCUAGUUGAAGCCAAAGUUAGAAUCCUUCUAUGAAACUACAGGAUUAAAAUGGAAUGGUUACAUGACCCAGGCUUGACCAAUCAGAUCAUCCAAACCCUUUGCCACAGUGAUUGGUCCAGGGAUACAUGCAUGAGCCAGCUCAGGUGGCAUUGUAUUAUGCGCCAAGAGUGAACCAGAUAGAGGAAGUUGCUCCUUAAGCUUGCAGGUCUGAAAGAACAAGGAAUUGCCUCUCUUCAAAGGCCUAAGCCACACUCAUCUUGUGGAUGACACUGGAGCUGUGACAGUCUGUUCUGUCCAGGCUGGGUGUCUUUUAUUUUUAUUGGAAAUAAGAUUAUCACAGCCCUUUGAGAGCUUCUGUCUCAACAUCAGAAAAUCAUCCUAGAUCCAUACUUGUACACAACAGUCUGUGCCAGUGAGAUUCAUUCUUUUGGGAGCUCUGCUAAUAAUGCACGAAUUGCUGGCUGUUGAUACUCUUUCCCAUCAACUCCCCAAAUGGAAAUGCUUUCAACCACUGCAGAAGUAAAAAAUUACCCAAAGGCUGUAUGAUGCAAACUCUUUCUUUGGCUUUAUCUUACUGAUAAGAAUAAAAAUAACACCUCA